AUCAGCAGCCCAAAAUCCUUAAACCACCAGCCCCCAGCCCAACAAAUAGCCUGACCCGACCCGUUUUUUUUCCUUCUUCAACCUCAACAAAACAACAGCAACACAACCGAUACAGCAAACAACAAAAACCGACAAUAUGCUACAGCUUCAACCAACGAUCUCAAUGACAAAAUCGCACAUCAAUUCAACCAACUCAACCCAAAUUCGAUGAAAAGCUGGCCCAACAUCGCGUACAGCUUCAGCAACCAUCGCGACCCAAACCCGUAACCCCCGAAAUCCGUCCAAAUCGACCCGAAUCCAACCAUUUCACCUGGACCCGACUCGGAGAAGCUUCAACCUGAACGUUUCCCUCUUCAACAUGUGUUUUCCCACGUAAAAUCGUACAAGAAUCGCGAGAAUCUUCUAGAAAGAGGCUAGGUGGCAGCCAUCAACGUUCCAAAAAUAAUUAGCUGUCAAGAAUCCGUUCUAAGUUGUUGGAGUUGUACCUUGAAGGUACACAAACGCCCAAUUUUGAUUGGUUAGAAACGAAUCUGUUUCUCCCCAAUGUGAAAAAUUCGAAGUUUCUUGGAAAAAUCCAAAAAAAUCAAGACAAAAUCAAAGGGAAAUUUGGUUAUCAUCAAAAAGUGUUGAAAAUAUCUUACUCUAAAAAUCCUAAAAUUGCCCCAGUUCAAAUUAAUCCCACAUCGGUGGAGUUCAAAGAUCGACUCCCAUUUUUGUUCUCUAUAUGAGGCUCACUAUUGAGCAAAAAAGGGGACAAGUCUUGAAUGUUGAAAAAAAAAGAUCAAGCAAAAGUUUAUAUCCUAGUAAGAAAAUUUUUCCAUAAAAUUGGGUACUGUUCGAAGUCUUCGGAAUCACAGUAAAGCUUUUCGGUGGUGGUCGAGAUACUAUCAAAGUCUCGAGUCCCAUUUUGAUGCUCUGAAACAGGAGUAGCUGUAGAUGGACUUGAAGGCCCUAGGUUUAGUCGUGGAAGAUGAUGAAUUUUAACGUGUUGAUGUGUUUCGAUUUCUGGUUUCGUCUUUCUUUUGUAAGAGUUUACUGUGCUUGAUUCUCUCUUGGUGGUUUUAGUUUCCUAUUACUUUAAAGUUGAAAUAUUGUUCCUAGUAAUUGUUUCUGAAUGAAUGCAUUGUACGUUAAUCCUCUGUUCAUGAUUAUUGGUGCUUUCACCCAUUUGGUUUCUAUUGAUUGAAUACUGUUUGGUGUGGCAUUUUGAUUCUUGUUCUCACCAUGUUCCUAGACUACUGCUUAGUUGAAGGAUGUGCUUGUCGAAGUUCACUUUUGGUGUGUUAUUUGUAGUCUGAGUGUUUUUAGUAUUCAGCGCUAAUGUUAGAAGAUAAAUCAUGACGAGGCCAUCAAUGCAAUGACUACUUAAAAAUCAUUUGGACUCUUGUAGAUCUAUUCUAAGAGUGUCGAAAGAGUACGAGGAUGAGAGUAGUAUGUCCUGUCAAUUCUCUUCUGCAGUCUGAUGAGUGUGCUUUUUGGUGUCAGAGCUUGAAAAUUUGAUUCAUUUUCCUUUGAAUUCAUUUUUGGUAUGUGAUCAUGUUAGAAGGGCAAAUGUAAUUGUGUUUUGUAAAAUGCUGGAUAUUCGAGCACGCCGGUUUAGUAGAGAAUAUCUCAACUCUAGUUGUCAUUAUGUUAUGUGUGCAAUUUAUGCUUAGACUGAGAAUUCCCGGGGAUUUUUUCUUGAUCGAUAACAUCUAGAAAGGAGGGAUGAGGUUAUGUUCAUCUUACUAGAUUACUAAUAUUGAUCACGUAAAGAGUUAACCAUCUUGUUCUUAUUUUGUUUAAGUUCUUGCCACAAUUUAGAAUUGAAUGGUCACUAUAGAACUUGCCAGGAAGUUUCAAAAAGUCCUAGUUUUCUAAGAAAACUGUUGUGGACUUGAGAUUUGUUAGUGAGUUUGUAAGAAUCUUUUAUGCUAUUUUGGUUUUAAGUAUUACAUUUCAAGCCUAAUGCAAGUGUACCUGCCCAACUUCUUGUAAAGAAUGGGUUAAUUUGCCAAUCAAGUGAGAGUGUGAUACCUUUCUUCUUCUUUAUUUUGUGGUUUAUGAUCUUGUGACUCUUUGAAUUAUAUCUAGGAUUCCCGAAGCAAAUAAGUAUGAUUUUUUGAUGACUUAUGUGCUGAGAAUUUUGUUGCCUUAGUCCUAGUGUAAAGGUCAUGAGUAGAACAUAGGCGUUCUAAAAAACAUAGCUUUUGGUGUUUUAAGUUUAGCUGAAGAAGUGUUAACAGAUAAAAGUUUUCUUUAUGAAUUAUAAAAUCUUUUAAGUUUUCAAUCAAAUGAAAAUUAUGCAUGAAAAUGAAUGAAUCAAACACUUAUUUGGUCAAUUGUCAGUGAUAUGAAUAUGGGCCAUGAAAUUUUGCAGAAUACCAGUUAAACUUUUGUCUCUUCUCUUCUUUGGUCUUUACUACAAUAAAUAAAAUAGAUCAAGUUAUAGGUUUGAAUCUUCUUCGUUAUUUAAUACUACUACAAUAACUGAAAGAUGAAUGACCCAUGGAGUGUUACUACUUCCACCGUCUCAAUUUGUGGCACUUUUUUUUUUAAAUUUUGUGAUUCAAUUUAUAAAUUUGUUUAAAUAGUUAAUUAUCGUAAUUUAUGUAUAUUUAAUUAUGUGAUUUCUUUAUUUAUUUUUAUUUGUCAUAUUUUAUGAUAUUGUUGGAAAUGUUAUAAUAAUAACGGCCCUGUUUGCAUCAUUUGUAAUCAGAUAGUUUAAAAUAAUGAGUUGUUUGAUUAACUUCAUGUUCCAGUUUACCUUAGCUCUUUCCUCAUAUUUUUGCCUCUCAUUUCUGUUGGAGUGCAUCGUUAGUAUUGCGGAUUAAAGAUCCCAAUCUUGUUUUGAUUACUUGAGACGUGAAAAGACCGCCCUUUAUACAAUACGAACUUGUUCAUGAUUAUCUUUGGUUUGAAUCGGUUGUAUUUUCUAUUUAUUCCAUCGAGUUAAUUACUUUCUUUCUUCUUUCUUUGGCAUGGAAAAUCCAUUCGGGGUCCAAUUAGACUUUCCUGUUUUUUGCAUUCAAUGGGCCAAUGAGGCCCGCCACCUCCAUCGAGUCAAGAUUCAGGAUAAGUCAAAAAUCGACUACAUAAUGCAUGGAUACAAGGAGUCAAAAGAAGAAAAAAUGAGUUAAAGUACCAUAUUUGAAGCCGCAAAGAGACCCGAGAGUCUCAUUUAUUCAUUAUUAUUGUCUUUUUACUAUUAUUUAUUUAUUUAUUUAUUUCAUUAUUCAUUUAUUUGGGCCUCGAAGCUAAAAAUUAUAAAUUUAAUAUAGGUGAAGCAGAUUUUGGA
This is a long non-coding RNA of Capsicum annuum, 3277 nucleotides long. RefSeq lists it as uncharacterized. The record is from RefSeq and is a predicted model, not a curated record. The transcript is spliced from 2 exons. Lineage: Eukaryota; Viridiplantae; Streptophyta; Magnoliopsida; Solanales; Solanaceae.